RNAcentral lists this ribosomal RNA (460 nucleotides) under Onchocerca sp. 18-51. RNAcentral's name for it is "SSU rRNA". It matches the Rfam family "Eukaryotic small subunit ribosomal RNA", at positions 556 to 1021 of the family's 1831-position model. Lineage: Eukaryota; Metazoa; Nematoda; Chromadorea; Rhabditida; Onchocercidae. The record is from RNAcentral.
CAAGUCUGGUGCCAGCAGCCGCGGUAAUUCCAGCUCUCAAAGUGUAUAUCGUCAUUGCUGCGGUUAAAAAGCUCGUAGUUGGAUCUGCGUCUCAGGACCUGGUCCAUCCAUUGGAUGAGAACUAGGCUCCUAGGCUAAUAUUGCCAGUUUUCUAUACGUUACCUUGAUUGGUUGCGUAUGGUGGCUAGCAAGUUUACCUUGAAAAAAUUAGAGUGCUCAAUGCGGGCUAAUGCCUGAAUACUCGUGCAUGGAAUAAUGAAAUAGGAUCUCGGUUCUAUUUUGUUGGUUUUCUGAUCUGAGAUAAUGGUUAAGAGGGACGGACGGGGGCAUUCGUAUCGCUGCGUGAGAGGUGAAAUUCUUGGACCGUAGCGAGACGUACGACUGCGAAAGCAUUUGCCAAGAAUGUCUUCAUUAAUCAAGAACGAAAGUCAGAGGUUCGAAGGCGAUCAGAUACCGCCCU